Molecule: ribosomal RNA, 745 nt
Filed under: Laparocerus tibialis
Lineage: Eukaryota; Metazoa; Arthropoda; Insecta; Coleoptera; Curculionidae
Description: eukaryotic LSU rRNA
Rfam family: Eukaryotic large subunit ribosomal RNA
Source: RNAcentral
GAACCGUUUAGGGGUAAACCUGAGAAACCCGAAAGGUCGAAGGGAGAAAUUCAUUCGCGUUUCGCCGUUGGCGUGAGACGGUCGUGUGACGGAAAACGUUCGCGUUUUCCGCGCCUUUCGUUUUUCGAUCCGAUAGCGAACGCGUGCACUUUUCUCCUGGUAGGACGUCGCGAUCCGUUGGGUGUCGGUCUACGGCUCGCGGUGGAGCCCGGAUGUACGGCUUGCCGUCACGUCCGGACCCGCGUGUCCCGGCUGACUCGCUCGACGGUAUACGAAAGGUUUAAGGCCGCUCUUUGAGCGUUCGGCUCGUCGCAAGCGCGUCAGAUGUGUCGGUGAUCGGACCUAGUGCCGGUUCUGACCUCUGGCGACUGUUGGCGGCGAAGUUCUCGAACAGACCUUCGACCGAUCUGCGACGCUAUAGCUUUGGGUACUUUCAGGACCCGUCUUGAAACACGGACCAAGGAGUCUAGCAUGUGCGCAAGUCAUUGGGAAUCACUAAACCUAAAGGCGCAAUGAAAGUAAAAGUCCGCCUUGCGCGGACUGAGGGAAGACGAGCGGUUUACCCUUAAAAGUGGCCGCUCCGCAUUCCCGGGGCGUCUCAUUCUCAUCGCGAGAAGAGGCGCACCAUGAGCGUACACGCUGGGACCCGAAAGAUGGUGAACUAUGCCUGGUCAGGACGAAGUCAGGGGAAACCCUGAUGGAGGUCCGUAGCGAUUCUGACGUGCAAAUCGAUCGUCGGAACUGG